UACGGAGGGUGCAAGCGUUAUCCGGAUUCACUGGGUUUAAAGGGUGCGUAGGUGGGCAGGUAAGUCCGUGGUGAAAUCUCCAAGCUUAACUUGGAAACUGCCGUGGAUACUAUCUGUCUUGAAUACCGUGGAGGUGAGCGGAAUAUGUCAUGUAGCGGUGAAAUGCUUAGAUAUGACAUAGAACACCAAUUGCGAAGGCAGCUGGCUACACGAAUAUUGACACUGAUGCACGAAAGCGUGGGGAUCAAACAGG
Molecule: ribosomal RNA, 253 nt
Filed under: uncultured bacterium
Lineage: Bacteria
Description: partial 16S ribosomal RNA
Rfam family: Bacterial small subunit ribosomal RNA
Source: RNAcentral